This 65-nucleotide transfer RNA is filed under the name Graptacme eborea. Its description in RNAcentral is "tRNA-Asn". It matches the Rfam family "tRNA". Rfam says of the family: Transfer RNA (tRNA) molecules are approximately 80 nucleotides in length. Their secondary structure includes four short double-helical elements and three loops (D, anti-codon, and T loops). The record is from RNAcentral. Lineage: Eukaryota; Metazoa; Mollusca; Scaphopoda; Dentaliida; Dentaliidae.
UAAAUAAUAGUUUAAUGAAGAAUAGUUGAUUGUUAAUCAACGGGUGAAUUUUUUUUCUUAUUUAG